AAAGGCGCUUCGGCGUCACCUAGAGAUGGAUCCGCGGUGCAUUAGUUAGUUGGUGGGGUAAAGGCCUACCAAGACAAUGAUGCAUAGCCGAGUUGAGAGACUGAUCGGCCACAUUGGGACUGAGACACGGCCCAAACUCCUACGGGAGGCUGCAGUAGGGAAUCUUCCACAAUGGGCGAAAGCCUGAUGGAGCAACGCCGCGUGUGUGAUGAAGGCUUUCGGGUCGUAAAGCACUGUUGUAUGGGAAGAACAGCUAGAAUAGGAAAUGAUUUUAGUUUGACGGUACCAUACCAGAAAGGGACGGCUAAAUACGUGCCAGCAGCCGCGGUAAUACGUAUGUCCCGAGCGUUAUCCGGAUUUAUUGGGCGUAAAGCGAGCGCAGACGGUUUAUUAAGUCUGAUGUGAAAGCCCGGAGCUCAACUCCGGAAUGGCAUUGGAAACUGGUUAACUUGAGUGCAGUAGAGGUAAGUGGAACUCCAUGUGUAGCGGUGGAAUGCGUAGAUAUAUGGAAGAACACCAGUGGCGAAGGCGGCUUACUGGACUGCAACUGACGUUGAGGCUCGAAAGUGUGGGUAGCAAACAGGAUUAGAUACCCUGGUAGUCCACACCGUAAACGAUGAACACUAGGUGUUAGGAGGUUUCCGCCUCUUAGUGCCGAAGCUAACGCAUUAAGUGUUCCGCCUGGGGAGUACGACCGCAAGGUUGAAACUCAAAGGAAUUGACGGGGACCCGCACAAGCGGUGGAGCAUGUGGUUUAAUUCGAAGCAACGCGAAGAACCUUACCAGGUCUUGACAUCCUUUGAAGCUUUUAGAGAUAGAAGUGUUCUCUUCGGAGACAAAGUGACAGGUGGUGCAUGGUCGUCGUCAGCUCGUGUCGUGAGAUGUUGGGUUAAGUCCCGCAACGAGCGCAACCCUUAUUGUUAGUUGCCAGCAUUCAGAUGGGCACUCUAGCGAGACUGCCGGUGACAAACCGGAGGAAGGCGGGGACAACGUCAGAUCAUCAUGCCCCUUAUGACCUGGGCUACACA
RNAcentral lists this ribosomal RNA (1028 nucleotides) under Leuconostoc mesenteroides. Its description in RNAcentral is "bacterial SSU rRNA". It matches the Rfam family "Bacterial small subunit ribosomal RNA", at positions 202 to 1220 of the family's 1533-position model. The record is from RNAcentral. Lineage: Bacteria; Bacillati; Bacillota; Bacilli; Lactobacillales; Lactobacillaceae.